This 252-nucleotide ribosomal RNA is filed under the name uncultured bacterium. RNAcentral's name for it is "partial 16S ribosomal RNA". It matches the Rfam family "Bacterial small subunit ribosomal RNA", at positions 526 to 776 of the family's 1533-position model. The record is from RNAcentral.
CGUAGGGGGCGAGCGUUGUCCGGAUUUAUUGGGCGUAAAGAGCUCGUAGGCGGUUCGAUAAGUCGGAUGUGAAAUCUCCACGCUCAACCUGGAGGGGUCAUUCGAUACUGCCGUGACUAGAGUUCGGUAGGGGAGUGUGGAAUUCCUGGUGGAGCGGUGAAAUGCGCAGAUAUCAGGAGGAACACCCGUAGCGAAGGCGGCACUCUGGGCCGAUACUGACACUGAGGAGCGAAAGCGUGGGGAGCGAACAGG